GCCGCAUUAGCACAAUGGUAGUGCGUCGCUUUCCUAUGAUGUAAUUGGAAUUGGGAGGCGAAGGUUGCGGGUUCGAGUCCCGUGUGUGGUU
Molecule: non-coding RNA, 91 nt
Organism: Marasmius sp. AFHP31
Lineage: Eukaryota; Fungi; Basidiomycota; Agaricomycetes; Agaricales; Marasmiaceae
Source: the annotation of a GenBank genome assembly